This 988-nucleotide ribosomal RNA is filed under the name Ptilinopus victor. Its description in RNAcentral is "partial 16S ribosomal RNA". It matches the Rfam family "Bacterial large subunit ribosomal RNA", at positions 1438 to 2826 of the family's 2925-position model. Lineage: Eukaryota; Metazoa; Chordata; Aves; Columbiformes; Columbidae. The record is from RNAcentral.
CCCUUCCCACUAACAGGUUAACCUAUGACAAUAGGAGAAUUGAUACUAAAAUGAGUAACUAGGGCACACCCCUCUUAAGCGCAAACUUACAUCUACCCAUUAUUAACAGACAUCUAAUACUCCCACACCAACAAGAUCUUAUAUUUCACCCACUGUUAACCCGACCCAGGAGCGCCUGCUAGAAAGAUUAAAAUCUGUAAAAGGAACUAGGCAAACCCCAAGGCCCGACUGUUUACCAAAAACAUAGCCUUCAGCUAAACCAAGUAUUGAAGGUGAUGCCUGCCCAGUGACCCAUGUUUAACGGCCGCGGUAUCCUAACCGUGCGAAGGUAGCGCAAUCAAUUGUCCCAUAAAUCGAGACUUGUAUGAAUGGCUAAACGAGGUCUUAACUGUCUCUUACAGAUAAUCAGUGAAAUUGAUCUCCCUGUGCAAAAGCAGGAAUAAACACAUAAGACGAGAAGACCCUGUGGAACUUAAAAAUCAAUAGCCACCUCACAAACAAAACCAAACCUAUCCAGGUCCACCACUGCAACACACUGGCUAACAUUUUUCGGUUGGGGCGACCUUGGAGAAUAACAAACCCUCCAAAAAUAAGACCACCUCUCUUAACCAAGAGCAACCUCUCAACGUGCUAACAGUAACCAGACCCAAUAUAAUUGACCAAUGGACCAAGCUACCCCAGGGAUAACAGCGCAAUCCCUUCCAAGAGCCCAUAUCGACGAAGGAGUUUACGACCUCGAUGUUGGAUCAGGACAUCCUAAUGGUGCAGCAGCUAUUAAGGGUUCGUUUGUUCAACGAUUAACAGUCCUACGUGAUCUGAGUUCAGACCGGAGUAAUCCAGGUCGGUUUCUAUCUAUGACGAAUUUUUCCCAGUACGAAAGGACCGGAAAAAUGAGGCCAAUGCUUCAAAUUGUACGCCUUCUCUUUAAGCAAUGACUUCAACUGAAUUACCAAAAGAUCUACCAUAUGCCCAAUCCUAAAAAAGGAUC